CCUACGGGAGGCAGCAGUGGGGAAUAUUGGGCAAUGGGCGCAAGCCUGACCCAGCAACGCCGCGUGAAGGAAGAAGGCUUUCGGGUUGUAAACUUCUUUUAUCAGGGACGAAGCAAGUGACGGUACCUGAUGAAUAAGCCACGGCUAACUACGUGCCAGCAGCCGCGGUAAUACGUAGGUGGCAAGCGUUAUCCGGAUUUACUGGGUGUAAAGGGCGUGUAGGCGGGAGUGCAAGUCAGAUGUGAAAACUAUGGGCUCAACCCAUAGCCUGCAUUUGAAACUGUACUUCUUGAGUGCUGGAGAGGCAAUCGGAAUUCCGUGUGUAGCGGUGAAAUGCGUAGAUAUACGGAGGAACACCAGUGGCGAAGGCGGAUUGCUGGACAGCAACUGACGCUCAUGCACGAAAGCGUGGGUAUCGAACAGGAUUAGAUACCCUUGUAGUC
RNAcentral lists this ribosomal RNA (443 nucleotides) under uncultured bacterium. Its description in RNAcentral is "partial 16S ribosomal RNA". It matches the Rfam family "Bacterial small subunit ribosomal RNA", at positions 338 to 795 of the family's 1533-position model. The record is from RNAcentral.